RNAcentral lists this ribosomal RNA (392 nucleotides) under uncultured bacterium. RNAcentral's name for it is "bacterial SSU rRNA". It matches the Rfam family "Bacterial small subunit ribosomal RNA", at positions 28 to 420 of the family's 1533-position model. The record is from RNAcentral.
GACGAACGCUGGCGGCGUGCUUAACACAUGCAAGUCGAGCGGUAAGGCCCUUUCGGGGGUACACGAGCGGCGAACGGGUGAGUAACACGUGGGUGACCUGCCCUCAGCUCUGGGAUAAGCCUGGGGAAACCGGGUCUAAUACCGGAUAUGACUCCAUGACGCAUGUUGUGGGGUGGAAAGCCUUGUGCGGCUGAGGAUGGGCCCGCGGCCUAUCAGCUUGUUGGUGGGGUGAUGGCCUACCAAGGCGACGACGGGUAGCCGGCCUGAGAGGGCGACCGGCCACACUGGGACUGAGACACGGCCCAGACUCCUACGGGAGGCAGCAGUGGGGAAUCUUGCGCAAUGGGCGAAAGCCUGACGCAGCGACGCCGCGUGAGGGAUGACGGCCUGGU